CUGCGACACGUGAUGACCUGCCCGCCGCGCCAUAGGGCUCCCGCCGAGCUCUCAUUAGCAUAUUCAAAUCGCCGGGGGGGGCGGGGGAACGGCGGUUGGCGGCGAGCACGCGCCAAGGCCUGACGGGGGCGCAUGUGCACUGUGGCCGCUCGCUCCUGCGCUGGGGGGAGGGGCGCGAGAAAAGGGGCCGGGGGAGGACGGGGCGGGGACCCCGCUCCUUCACCCGCGCGGAACUGGAGAUAGUGGAUGAUGGAUACUACCUCCGCAGCAUCCCAGCUGUUGCAAGGACUCCAAGGACCUUAAGACCACAGCAACGUAUAAGAAGGGUUGCUUUACUUCUAAAGAAGCUUCAGUGAUGACCACCUGCUUUUCUCUAGUAGCACCCAUCCUGGCAUUCUAAUGAAAGCAAAACAUGAUUCUUUAAUUAUUGCUUUUCUGUCUGUCUGAGGAACUGGGUCACUUGGAGAGUUAACUCUUAAAUUUCUCAAUAAUUUAGGCAAUGACCAUCUUAGAUGAAUGAUGGAAGAUGAGUGAGGUCUAUGCCAUGGAAUUCUUCAGACAUUCUUGAAGCAUUUUUCCGUACUUCUCAAACCCACCCAAAUACUCUGAUGACAGAGGCCAUCACUUACCUCCUGCAUUUAAGGGCAAUAAAGUCCAUCUGAAGAAAAGUCUGCCUAGGCUUCUUUUUACCUAGUUUCCAAGGUGUCUGGAGGAAGCAGCAUUAUUUUGAACCUGAAAGCAUCAAAUAAAUUCAUGGGAGAAAAAAAAUUUUUUAAUGAAAUCUCUGAAGGCUCUCUGGUCAACUUGUUAAUAUCUGUAUGCCAGUGGAAAGCAUAUCAUCACAUCUCAAUUCAAUCUUCCUAUGGAAAACAUAGGAGACAAUCCAUUAUCAGUAAAGUGUACUACCAUUUGGCCUUGUUACCUCACUCAGACUAUUCAAAGAACUAGUGGUCCUGAUAAUUGCUCAUAUAAAUGAAAGGUCAUGUAUAUUGUAAACAGACCCAAUCAAGAAAGGGGAAAAACAAACUAGGAAAAGAAUGUCUCUUUUAAAAGGCCACAGGUAAGGAGCAGUCUCAAGAAAAUUUGUAGAACUUUUUAAGGCAGAGAUGUCAAAGAUCCAUUCCAUGGGCUGGAUCCAGCUGCUGGAAGCUUGUCAUCCUGCCAACAGGCCUGGAAAUUUGGCAUUGGGGAAAUGGCAGCGCUGUUAACUGCCACAGGUCUCAUAGCUGCUGCAGCCACUGCUUGUGUCCCUAUUGCUCUGUGCUCCAGUUCGAGCUCAUGGACCAGCUCCAUAUUGCAGAUCUGGUCUGUAGGGAAUUGUGCUACUCCUCAGGCCCACAGGGCCAAAUGAGUUUGACAGCCUCUGUAUUAGGACAUUAGUUCAACAACAACAAUAGCCUCCAAACCCUGUCCAUCUUGUCAACAGAAUUCAAGCUUAUUGCCCCUUAUGCCAGCCUAAUCCCCCUUUCCUGCCAAUACAUUCUAGGGUGUUUCAGUUCCAAAGGCCCCUGCUUCGUGUUACAUAUAUUAUGCAAUUUACUGGUUAAUUAUGCAAUAAAUUCAGACCAGCCACACACACAAGCUAGACUGGCCCCAACUGCAAAGUAAUUAUCACACAAUUAAUUAAUUGGUUAAUCACAGAGUAAAUUUAGAUCACAUAUGCAAAGUAAUUAUUUCACCAUAAAAGUGACUUCAUCUGUAAAAAGAGCCAACCAGCUACAAAGUUAGUGCUUGAAAAUGUGUAACAACUAUAUAGCUGAUUUCUGUCUUGGCUUUAAUUUGUACAUGUAGCAGGGCCCAGAGAAACCCCUGAAAGGGUAGCAUGUUCUCUCAUACACAUAGCCAUUGUUUAGCUUGGACAGACUCAACAGUCCACUGGGGCACAAAAUACAUAAAAUCAGAACCACUAACUGAUGAGACAUUACAAAAACAUUGAUUGACAGAAAACAUCAAAUGCAAAAUGUCUUGGUUAAUUCUUGGACGUAAGGAAGAACUUUACAGUCUGAGCCCCCAAGACCUGGAACAGACUGCCGCCAGAGGUGGUGCAAGCACCUACUCUGGAUUCCUUUGAGAGUCAAUUGGACGUUUAUCUUGAGGGGAUCCUGUGACCCCAGCGGACUUCCUGCCCCUGGGGCAGGGGGCUGGACUCAGUGAUCUUCUGAGGUCCCUUUCAGCCCUAAUGUCUAUGAAAUCUACGUAUAUGGAAUUCAUAUGCAUAAUACUCCCAUUGAGUCACCCUCAAGAUAGAGUGUUAGAAUGGCAAAAAUACAUUGAUCUUUCUUCAACAUGACUUUUCAACAGUCUUUCAGAAAGCCAAUUAAACUCUUUUUAAAAGAAACUUUCUUGGGAUGCUAGAUUCUUGCAGAGAUUUUGCUGCUGUGAGAUUCCCUCUGAGAUUGCUUCCAAGGUUUUUUUCUGUCUCUUUCUGCAGACAUUUUUUCCUGCUUACAUUCAGUCCUCCCUGGAGCACUGGACCUUCCAACACAUUUCCUAGCAUAGCAACCCAACACACUCUUAAUAGGGAUGCCAGGAACUGGCAUGCAGAAUUCAUCUAGCCAGUCAACUGGUCCAAAAACAUCUGUUCCACUCCCACUCAGCUUGAACUAUAAAUUGGCUACAGCUAAGACUUACACACCUGGUCCUGCAAGCCCCUCCCAGGGAGGUGAAACAGUGUAGUUACCUAUAGAUCAGAUGUUUUCAACCUUUUUUCAUUUGUGGACCCCUGAAAAAUUUUGAAUGGAGAUGCAGACACCUUUGAAUUGUAAGUGUGGGCAUUCACUACUUUUGACUGAUCAUGGUAAUUUUUUGCAGACCCCUUAGACAUAGUCUGCAGAUCCCCAGGGGUCUGUGAACCACAGGUUGAAAAUCACUCCUAUCACACAAUGACUGUUUUUUCUGAACAAGGGAAUGACACCGAUUUGGUUUUCCACAAGUUAUCUGCCUGAGAGCCACCCUGUCUACAUUCUGUACUUGAGACCUAGGAAUUCUUUCCAUGAGGUCAUAUUAUGGCUGGUGAAGUGUUGCCACACCCCAAUAUUUAUCCAGCCUUUAUUCUAUUUCUCUGAAUACUCUGCACUCAUCAUUUCACCCUGCACAAUGUCUGCAGGGCAGUUUGCAUGCUUCAUAGCAGAUCUAGGCCCUGGCACUGGGUUAUAUGGCCUGUGGGGCUCCCCACUAGUACAUAGGGUGUCUCCCAUGUGUAUGCACAGCAGCAUGGGGCCUGAUCCUGGUGUAUGGGACUCACAGAGGUGGGUAUAGGGCCCUGAUCCCAGCGUGCAGGGCUGGGCGCUGCCCCUGGCACACAGGGCCAGGCAGAAACAGAAUGAAGUAACAGCACAUUGGGCCAGGUGGAGGUGGCACAGGGCCCUGAUCCUGGCAUGUAGGCUGUGUGAGGGUGUCAUGGGGCCCUAGGAGCCUAUCCAGAUGCAUGGGAGUGGCAUGGUCCAGUCUUGGCAUGUGUGGGGUGGAUCUGGCCCAUGAGCCAGCCCUGUCCCAUUCCCUUGGCCUGCAGGGCCAAAACUUUGAGCACCACUGUUGUAUAAAAACAGAUAUGGUAUAACUUUGUUUUCCAUCCAACAGUUAAACAAAAAUGCCUUGAAAGCAUCACUAGCUAACUAGGAAUUUAUACUGAAGAAACAGAGCAAAAGGCUUAUGUGGUCUGGGAUCUGUCAAACCUAUCAAGCCAAAAAAUUUCCUACUUCACAGUGGAAAAAUCCUUAACAUCCUGUGAAGAAAACUGGAAGCUUAACACAUGAUCAUCUCUACUUAAUUUUUUCAGAGACCUCAAAUUAAGCGUAUGGUGAUGAUGACAAAUUGUCUGUUGUAGAAUUCCUAUCCAUAGGAACAUGCCGUGUCUAUUUAAUUAGCUGGUAUGCAUGCAUGUUUCUUUGUUACUAAAUGUAUACAUAUUAAGGCCUUCAUCCCACAAAGUGGCACAGAGUCCCAGUGAAAUCAGUGAUGCUCCAUUCUGGUACAGCAGACUUACAGAAAAAGCUUUUGUGUAUGCAUAGAUCCAUUUUGUAAAGAGGGCACAUAAGGUGUGACUUGCAAAUAUGCAAAAUGGGUAAUUUCAAGCAAGUGAAAAUUCAUAUCUAGUGUUUGAAACUAUUUGGAAUUUAAGGGGAAAAAAUUCAUCCUAAUACUGAUCACCCCAAUUUUCAGCCAAGUUUUUUUCUUGCUCCAGUUUAGAGAAGAGCAGAAUAUCAGGCUUAUAAUGGAACCUUGAUUAUAAUAACAGUGGAGAGAGAUCCUCUUCCAUUAUAAGGACCUGCACACACAAAAAUGUUGUUUUGUUCAGCCAUGAAUUCUUGAGCUGUUGGAAAUGGCUCUGAAUGUCACGCUGUUGCAGUUGUAGAGGCUUGAACGUUCCAGAACUGGCUUUGUUCUUUACACGUUCCUAUUUCAUAUUUCCAAAGCAAUACACUGUGCAUGCCUCUUCCAAACAUUAGUUUCAAAUUUGAAGUCCACAAUCCAUUAUCUUGCAAUCCAUACCCUGGCCAGUAAAAAUCAGGUAUGUAUUUCUUCAUUUUCAUUUCCUACUAAUUGUACAUUUUAAUUCUGUUAUUAAAUUAACACUUUCCAUUAGAUUUUUUUUUUCUCUUUUCCUAGUCUAAAAUACAUUUAUAUUUCUGCUGUCUUAGGGCCUGAUUUAACCACAUCCAUGCAUGUUGAAUAGCCCAUAUAAGGAAUAUUGUUAACAUUGGCAUUAGAAGGCAACUCCUUGAGUAAGGAACUUUAACCACUUUAACCCUUUCACUCUCAACUAUUUAUAAUAUAUUACUAAUUCUUUUGUACUUCCAUUUAACUUUAUUUUAGUUAAAUAAGUGCCUUAUCUAGCCCAUUACCUUUCCCUUUCAGGUUCUUUUUUCUCUUCAUUGUUUUCUUUUCUAGAGAAAUUGUUUCUUCUGACCACUUAGUUACACAUAGACUAUAAUUCUCUACAGCUAUUUGCAGAACAAAAAGACACUUUCUUUCUCCUCACUGGUCUUUUCAUUCUCACUUUUGUUUCUGAUUGGCUGUCUUGUCUGCCUGUCUUUAAUAAUAGCCAGUUAAUACUUUCUGAUUCUAGGACAAGCUCCCAGAGAAUUAGUUAUCCAAAUUGCCACUUUAGAGGUAAAUGACAAACAUUUAAUCCAGUUAUAGACCAAGGCAAGAGGGUAGAACUUGUUCACCACACCUUACUAAUCAUAUAAGACUAUCACCUUACAAAGCACUGGAAAAUUGCACAUAAUUCCAUUUACUUUUCUAGAAAAAGUAAUUUUUACAUGUCCUGUGGAAUGGUUCAGCUUUUCUCCAAACUUAGUUCUACUCGUUUCAUUGCUGCAUUGACUCUCAGUUUCCUAAUACCCCAACAUUUUCACAUUGAAAUGUAUUACCCUCUUUCUAAAGUUUUAAAGUAGCUGCCAUGAAAAUAUUUACAGACUACUUUUGUCUAAUUAACAUUAUCAAAGUAUUCCUAAAAUUAGUGAAGCAAAUUCUGCUUUAGCCUUUGUUGUUCUCAGUUUGAAAAUAUACUGAAACGAUGACCAUUGUCUGAAUCUCUUUUUUUUGGUACUUGAACUAGUCUUCAAAUAGGCAUUGCCAUUAGUACCGAACUGUCCUAUAGCUCUAUCAUAGUAAUUUCCUCCCAACUGGCAAUAAGUAAACCUUGGAUGCCUUUUUCUCUGCUUGAAUUCUCUGUUUUCUGGAUUGUGAAAUUGUCCUCUGCAUAAUUUAAGAAUUAUUUCAUGAUCCAUGGUUCACAGUGUUUGUUACCCUACAGAUGCCUAGACAGUUAAUGACCUCUAUGGCUGCAUCCAGAUGAAUGUAGCCAUGCAGUAUAUGGUGCUGCAGACACGUCUGUAGUGCCAUAUACCGCACAUUCAGUUGUUCUCCACACUGCAACGGAACAGCACAGAGGAUUCUUUGAUCCCUGGAUAUCCAGGGGUCAAAAAAACCUGCGGAGAAAAAAAUGGGAGUGGUGCACAUAUGGGCAGUGCGUGCCAUUCAGAAGCAAAACUGGGCUGCCCGGAGCCAUGCUGCAGCUGCUAGCCAGGCUCUGUGUGGCAGAAUUGCCACUGCUGCAGCCCUGGGAGGCUCCCAGGACCCCGGAUAAGGCUGCUGAGGCCAGACCAGUACUGGCCCCAACCUCCCCUACUACGCUUGGGGUAACUUGCCAUGUGCCAGAGGGCAAGUGGCACAGGCAUUCCGUGGGGAUUAGCAUCAGCACACCUUGUGCCGCCACUGCUAGUUCUGCCCCGGGAACCAAAUGUCCACACCAUGUGUGGAUGCAGCCUAUGAGUACAGUUCUGUAGUUUCUUGUCCCUCAAUAGUUGGCUCAGACAUUUUUCUCUCUUCUACCAUGAGUUCAAAUUAGCAUAAGUCCCUUUCCCAAGGAACAAAAGCACAAGGAGUAUAAAAUCUUCCCCUCAGGAUAGUUACAUAAACAUCUGGAUUCUCCCCACCCUUUUUCCACUCCCCCAAUUUUAUUAUUCUCAAAGCACAGAAUCAAAUGCUUGGCCGCCUUCUCUUGUUUGUGUGUGCAUAUUCCUGUGUGUGCACGUGCUCUUAAUUUUUUCUUCUGGCCAAGGAAAGGAGAUAAGAAAGCUGAAACAAAUUCUUUUUUUUUUUUUUGAAGAAAAGAAAAGGUGUUUAAAAUAUGAGGCAAACAGAAGACUCUUAUCCUACAGGCUGGAAGUUGCAAAGGCUUCUCUUGGAGGUGGAUCAGUUCUUAUCUCCCUAGUCCUUGGCGUAGGCUUCCUAAGUGUCCCAGAAAAGCCCGUGAUCAGCGUAGUCCUCCUUAAUUCCAUGCAUAUGGGAAGUAUUCGUGGUUUCUCCUUUGCCUUCCCUUGUCUUCCCAAUCACUCUACACUGAGAAAGGAGGAACUUUACUACAGGCCCUUUAGCUCAAUCUGUGUAUAUAUGGCUUUUCUCUCCUAUAACUCCGCAAAGAAGAGAGAAUUCCUGAGAGGCAGGUUUAUCUCCAACUACCACCUUAUGGGCCUAGAGGGUUGUUAUAUGUUCCUAUGGCUUUAGAGAUGCUAGAACAGCUAUUGUAAUACAUUUUGCUUCUGCCUUAGAGGUUCAGCAGCUAGGCAAUAACUACUCACUGCUUGCUGCUGCAAGAAAGUUUUCUGAUGUAGCAGGUGAGUUCCCCUUUUGACCUCAGAGCACUGCAUGGACUUAUGGUGGAACCUUUUAAAUAGCCCUUUGUCUCUAUUCUGACUCAAACCUCUGCAAGGAAUCCUUUCCUCUCUGCAUGCAUCAAGUAGGGAGACUGUUCUAGGUCCAAAACGCCUGAACUCCAAGGACUAAUCAGACUGCUAAGACAGAGUCUGCGUAAAUUAAUGCUAAGACUCUUUUGUCAGUCUUAACUAGAAGCUCUUGUCAAUAUUGUUGAUUAAUUUACAUUUCCCCAGACCUGUGUUCUAGGCCUUCUUUAUAAAAGAGGAGGCUUGAACCUGUAUCUUUUUGACUUCCCAGCACAGUUCUCUACCCACCAUCCCCCAUGUUAGUCAUUAGCCAAAACGUUCUCUGCUCUCCAAGGAAAACACGAGUCUCCUGCUUCCUGGGCAAGUGCCCUAACCACUCAGCUAUUGGGGCUAAAAGAGUCAUAGAGCUGGCUCUCCCUCCUCCAGCAUCUAUUACCCGUUAGCAAUAGACUUCUGGUCAACUACGUUUUCAUUAUUUACACACGCGCACACACACACACACCAGUGUGCAUGAAAGCUGCAUACUUGCCCAUCCACUGAGUAACCUACCACACAUGCUCAGUGUGUGUACAUGUGCUUAAACUUCCAUAGUGCAGGGGUAAUAGAACUGAAUUUGUGUGUAAGUGCAACAAAUACCAUCUAUGUAGCUCAAAAACUGCCAUUUGGGCACAUGAAGGGAAAUAAAAGUCUGCCCUUUUUCAGGGGAUUUUUUUUCAUCUCCAACACAGGUACAAUUGUGGGUGGACAUUGCUUUUUCCUCUCUUAAAAGUAGAGAUCAGCAUAGUAACAAUUUUGGCCACUUUUUGGAGUAAAAACUUUGCUCUAUAGAGAGUGUUUCCUCUCCAUUAAUCAUUUCAGGGGGUGGCUGGCUCAAACCCAGGAUAAGGGCACUUUACCACUGUUUCUAAAACCAGAAAGUAGUUUGUCUUUUCCAAGAGGGCUGACAGUGACUGUACAGCUAGCACAUCAAAAUCAAAGUGGACUUUAUAGAUUCCACAUAGAGACAUAUCAGUCUAACACUGUAAGAUACUCAAGGCAGUCAUCUGUUCCACUUUUAUGGCUGCCAUAAUUUAACCUCAACCAAAACUUGGACCUUCAUGUUUCUGGAGGAUGAUCAUGAGGUAAGCAAACAAGCCAAAUGGUCUAGUUCUUCAUGAUACCAGUUUUAAUUGUGCCCAUCUGCUGGAUUGUGCUGGAUCUGCUGGUCUGUUGGGACUUCCACAUUUGGUCAUAGAACCAUUUAAAGGACUGGUGUGCUUAUUCACCUGUAAAAGAGAAGGUGAGUAACACAUUACUAAAACAGAAUAAACUUGAAGAGCUUGGUUAAAUGACCCAAAACUGUUUAGAAAGGGGGCAGGGGAGGCUAAGGCUUCCUACAUUCACCAAAUCUUAUACACUAAGGGUGUCCUUUCAGAGCUUUCUUUGUCGAAAAAAUCCUUUUCAACAGAAGGAAAUCAGCAGCCCUUUAGGUUUAGGAAUUAUUCACCUUUGAAAUCAAACCGCAAGCACAUCACACUUCAGGAAGGAUGUGGAGAAGCUUGAGAGAGUCCAAAGGAGGGCCACGCACAUGAUUAGAGGUCUGAAGAGCAGGUCAUACGAGGAGAUGCUGAAAGACAUGGGACUCUUCAGCCUGGAAAAAAGAAGACUUAGAGGGGACUUGGUUGCAGCCUAUAAGUAUGUAUGUGGUUUACAUCAGAGCCUGGGGGAGUAUCUGUUCACCAAGGCACCCCAGGGGAAGAUAAGAAACAAUGAACACAACCUGCUUGAAGAUCACUUUAGAUUGGACAUAAGGAGAAAUGUUUUUAUGAUUUGAGUGCCUAUGGUCUGGAACAGACUCCCUACAGAGGUGGUACAAUCACCUAACCUGGGGAUCUUUAAAAACACAACUUGAUGCACACCUUGCUGGGGUCAUCUGACCCCAGCAGUCUUUCCUGCCCAAGUGCAGGGGGGCUGGACCCAAUGAUCUUGUGAGGUCCCUUCCAGCCCAUAACAUUUAUGAAUCCCUAAAGCAAGAAAUGAAGCAGUUUUACCAAGGAUCUACUGUAUUUCCUACAGACUCAGGGUGGUGUGCUAUUUCGUGGGAUAUGUACCUUUCCAUACACUUUCAGUAAGUGUACAGAAUGGUUGGGUUAGCAUUCACCGAAAGAAGUCCCUGUCCCUACUGGUAACUGACACAAUGCUAGUAUUUUGUUAGUAAUAACCACAUUACAAUGGCUUCUGCCAGAUGUGUCUGCAUUAGACUUUUUUUCAUAAAAUAUCCUGAAAUUGUGGCCAUGGAUGCCCCCUGCCCCCCACAGGUGUGCUAGUCACAGAUAGCAAAGACCAGUGUUUUAAUCAUAGUCUUGUUUAACUCUGCUCAGAGAAGAUCUAGAUAAUGCUGUAGUUGAAACUCUGGUGGCCUUUUCAAUCUAGGAGUGCCCACUAGUGGAUCACUAAGACAGUAGCAAAGAAAUUUCUCUGAAAAAAAGUCUGUGAAUGAAAACUGUUGUAUGAAGGGAAAUGACACUCCUUACAGAAUAUACAUGUAUUAUUUUUAUAGUUAAACUAAAGAAAGAUUAGGUAGAACAUCAUUGCCUUUAUAUAUGUAGUUAAUGCAGCACAAGAAGGAAGUUCAGUUACCUUUUUAGGUAGAUUUUUAUGGGUUAUUUGUUCUCUGUUUUCUUAAUAGAAGAUAUACAUCAAUAAUAUUCCUUAGUAUUUAAUAUUUAAGUUAAAAUAGGGCAGGAAGCUAAAAAAAAAAUCAAGUAAAAAUAUCUCGGGUCUAGAAAUAUUCAAGAGUAAACAGCUGAGAAGAAUAGGAAUUAGUGAGAUGAAAGAUCUACUAAAAAUAUAAUGGAAUAAUUCUGGAGAAACCAAGGUUUCUGUAGGUGACAAACUGGGAGGCUCAACAUGUGAGCAAAACUACUGGGUAAUCAGUGAUGAAAUAAUAAAUAGAAGUAAGACUGCAUACAUGGCAAGGAUUGCUUAUAGGGCAAAAUGUAGGAGCUUGGGAGUUCUCAUUUACAGCCUACAUACUGACACAGCAUCCCUCAUUUUUUGUUUCCACACAGUCACAGGCAGUUCCAGAAGCAACACCACUUGCAAAGUAGCUAAACAGUAUCUUUGUUUCAGUUAAGAUGUUACACACUAAAAUUGAAAGACAAGCAUAAUUUUAAAUCUACUUUUUCUUCAUAAUUUGUCUCAGGAGACUCCAAACACAGCAGUUUUCAUACUUCAUAUCUCAGAGGUUUCCAUUUUCCAAACUUCUGAACACAAUAAACAAUAAUAGUGGAAUAUGGAAGAAAAUGGAGCUUUAAAUUUCACUGCAUACAUGGGAUGCUAUAUUCUUAGAAGCUAUCAUAGGCAAUAAUAUUCAAUAUAAAUGCUAAAACAAUCAGAAAAACUUAAUGUCUAAAUCUGAAGGUGAAUUUCUUAGGAAAAGUUUUCUGGAAUUGUAUUCUGAAACAAAUUCAGAUAAAUCAGUCUUUCAAAAAAUGUAUUUUCCAUAAAGUUUUUAUUCUUCCCCUUUAAGAUUUCAGUAUCUUUUUUUAAGGUUUUAACCAAUCUACAAGUAAAAACAUCUACCUUAAAAAUAUUAUUUGUGAAUUUGUUAUGUUCACAGAUUCAUAGAUGUUAGGGUCGGAAGGGACCUCAAUAGAUCAUCAAGUCCGACCCCCUGCAUAGGCAGGAAAAAGUGCUGGGUUUAGAUGACCCCAGCUAGAUGCCUAUCUAACCUCCUCUUGAAGAUUCCCAGGGUAGGGGAGAGCACCACCUCCCUUGGGAGCCCAUUCCAGACUUUGGCCACUCUAACUGUGAAGAAGUUCUUCCUAAUGUCUAGUCUAACUCUGCUCUCUGCUAGCUUAUGGCCAUUAUUUCUUGUAACCCCCAGGGGCGCCUUGGUGAGUAAAGCAUCACCAAUUCCCUUCUGUGCCCCCAUGAUGAACUUAUAGGCAGCCACAAGGUCGCCUCUCAACCUUCUCUUGCAGAGGCUGAAGAGGUCCAGGUGUCCUAGUCUCUCCUCAUAGGGCUUGGCCUGCAAGCCCUUAACCAUACGAGUGGCCCUUCUCUGGACCCUCUCCAGGUUAUCCGCAUCCCUCUUGAAGUGCAGCGCCCAAAAUUGCACGCAGUACUCCAACUGCGGUCUGACCAGUGCCCGAUAGAGGGGAAGUAUCACCUCCUUGGAUCUGUUCGUCAUGCAUCUGCUGAUGCACAAUAAACUGCCAUUAGCUUUUCUGAUGACUUCGUCACACUGCCGACUCAUGUUCAUCUUGGAGUCCGCUAGGACUCCAAGAUCCCUUCCUGCUUCCGUGCCACCAAGCAGGUCAUUUCCUAGGCAGUAGGUGUGCUGGACAUUUUUCCUCCCUAGGCGCAGCACUUUGCUUUUCUCCUUGUUGAAUUGCAUUCUGUUGUUUUCUGCCCAUAUGUUCAACCUGUCCAGAUCUGCUUGUAAUUGAUCCCUGCCCUCCGGUGUGCUGGUCUACAGAAACAAAGUGUGGUCCAUGAGAGGUCAUUUCAAGCAUACAUUUACAGUCACACAGUUCUUUAUAGUAGUAAGGCUUUAAUCACAGUUUGUGAAAAUGCAGUGAGCAGAGGCACUGGAGAAAAUAGACGAGUCUGCUGAAUUUGAUGACUAUUGAGCACUACACAGACCCAGGCAUUUUUACCUUUUUUAUGGAGUUAUCUUUUUGUGUGAACAAGUCCUUCUGGCUUAGCAGGGGUGAUUCAGAGGGAUAGGCUUCAGUACACUGAACUCUGGCUCCAUGUCAACUAAGCACUUUUGAAUAUGCACUGAAUCAGGCAAAAUGCAAUUUGUCUCCCAAUCUACACACCAUCUCACAGAGGAAAGCGGACUGGACACAGAUUAUUUAAAUAGCUUAACGGGGCACUUUGGCAAUUUGGCCUCUGCAUUUAACCAGUAUAAAAUAGUAAUACAUUUCUAAUUAGGCAAGGGCACGUUCUCACAGUAUUACAUGCUGUUGUUAAUGUAGCCUUUGAUUGUUGAGCACUUUUUAAAAAGGACCACAUUUUGGCAGCUUCUGUAAGGAUGCCAUCCAGAUUGCUAAAGGGAUGCUACCAAACCUUAAUCAGGAUGAUCCCAAAGCUUGCUAGAUUUCCACAGAUCGUGUUAAUUAUAUUUGAAGUUUAUGAAAUGUCAUCCUCUUGCAUGAUCAUGUCAUGAUAACAUAAUCAAGCAGUAAAAAAAAGUAUUAAUUUGGAAGGUGGCAUUGAGGUAUAUGUCUCUGUUGUCAGUAAGGAGAAAAUAAUGUGUUUUCUGAUAAAUUUUCUGAAAGGGUAACCCCACAGUAUAGUUACCUCAAAAGUAAUUAUACUGCUGGCACUGCAGCCACAUCCAGCCCCAACUUCAUUGGACCAAUCAGCUUUCACUUCUCCAUAUCGCUUUACUGAUCCUUGUUUGGAUUAACUCUCAUUUGUGCUGUAAUUGCCUGCUCCGGAAAACAAACUUUGAAAGCUCUGUAGAAUCUUACCCCACUAUAUCAACUGAGAUGCCAGAAGAUGGAGCCAGAGAGCAAUUUUUUAAACAAGGAGCCAGCGAUGAUGAAUACAAUUUAAUCUCUGCUCCAACCCAUGAAGUCAAACCGGAUUGCAGAUGAGCAAUGAAAGAAGGUGCUCUAGUAUGCUGGCAGUGAGAGUAUCUGGACCUUGGUUCUGCUGAUUGUAACCAUGCCAGUAACUGCUAAUUCCCAGAGCUAUGCUGACACCAUAUAACAGGUAAAUGCAGAACAGUACUAUCACUAACACAAGCUAUGAUCAUUUUAUUCACAUUAUCAACCCAGGAAUAAAACCUAUACCAAAUAGAAAAGGCCAAAACCAGUGGACUGAAGAACAUUUCAGUUUCCAAGCAGAUAUAACAAAAUACAGAAUAAAAGUAAAUGAACAAAAAUGAUGAGGAUCAUUCCUGAGAAGCAAGGAUUAAAUUAUGUUGAUGUGAUAUAAACAAAGGUUCACUUUCAGGUGCAGUCUGCACUGCUAGGCAGACAAAGUUCUUUGGGAAAAUCCAAUAACUUUUAUUAAACCAACUCUACACCCCUGUCUGCACUACUAUAAUAUGGAACAUUUUCAGUUAAAAUUUGAACAGUCAGGAGCAAUGAAAAAUUGGCUAUUGCUCUUUCUCCCUCUCUCUUUCUCUUGUAUCUUCCAAAAAUAACAUGCCUGUUUUGGAUUUUUUUGGUCUAUUUGUUUGUAUCCUCCAAGAAUGCCAUGCCUAUAACUGAACUUCCUGUUUCACAAUUUACAGUAAGAAAACAAAUCCUUGGAUGUUAUCAACACUCUUUAUUUUUUUCCAGUUUUGUUUUCAGAGAUUACUAAUAUUUAUAAAAAAAGAUACAAGCCCUUCAAUGCCAAGAAGAGAGGCAUGUAAUGAUUUUCUUUUCAAGGGGCAUACACUUUUUAAGAAUGUGCAUGUGAAAUACUAAGUAAACACACAAUGUUUGGUGUUCGAAUUUAGAUCCAGUACUUUCUGCCAUGUUUACAUAGAAACAAUUUAACCUAUGCUACCCAACCAGGAAAAAUAGCCAAUUUUUCACUAAUAUGAAGAACAACAUAUUUGUUACAAAAACAGGUUUUUCUUGCUUUUCUUUCAAAAUGAUUAGCUAGAGAAACUAUACACUGGGACUGUCCAAUGCCUGCAAAGGGGCUCAUUUGCAGCCCCACAGACUCUCAUCUGGCUUUCACCCCUUAUGUUAGUUGGCUAGGAGGCUACUGAAAUCCCUCGUCCAGUAGUGCUAUACUUGGGGAUAAAAUCAAGGGACAACUUAUGUUCAAAGAAUAGAAAUCUGAGGGAGUUUUGUAGUAGGUUUUAGCAUGUUACUACUUUCCUGUGAUUCAUAUUCCUGCUUAUUUUAACAAACCUGUGGCUACAUCUGGAACCUGCUUACAGGAGGAGCAUGGAGAAAACUUUGUUUUGAUACUAUGUGGAGUUCCUCUUUUAUAUUUUGAAAACACUAUGGUUUACGCGAAAGUGAUUAAAGCCCAGGCCUAUUUUAAGGUUUCUUCCCCAGCUCAAGCAAUGCUCUACAUCCUGAAGAUAUACUCUCACUUCUUAACUACUUGCUUCUCUCAAGACCUCUGACUGUCAGUAGGCAUGUCUGCAUGUGCUAUUAGCAUGCGGCAAUAAACUCCGGCACAUAUCAUUCUGGAGUUUAUUGUUCCUGGGUGUGCUGUUUGAAUGUGUGCCUAGGACCACAACACAUUGACCCAGGUCAGAGCAGCCCCAGCUGGCAGGGAGCCCACAGGGGUCAGCCUGCCAUCCCAGGGCUGCUCCAACCCAGCUCUGUGGUGCAGAGGGGCUGGCUGGAGCACAAGGGUGGUCGAGUGCAGGGCUAGCCAGCAGGCAGCCCUGGCACUGAAGAUUGCUCAUGCCCUAGCCAGCUGGGUCAGCAUCUACACGUACACUGCUAUGCACAAAAAAACUCCAAAGUAGGGCAGUACUUGUAUUUAAAAACAUUACCCUGCUACUGAAUUAAUAAGCUUCUUGCGGCCUAAUAGGGCUGCAUGUGUAGACACCGAGACAGUAAACAUUUUAUGUAGGUGUGCCCUAUAACUAAUCUUUUGAGAGAAGGCCUCUUUAAGGCCUUUACUCUUGUGUCUACAGUGCUCCCAGCCAUUGGCUCUCUGAGAAUAAUGCCCAGUUCAAUUGUUCAACUCAAAUUCCUUCAAUAAAGGCUUGUUAUGUUUCUGCUAGAACACCAAAUAUAUAUAUUUUUAAUAUAUAUUUUUUUUAAAUCAGAGAAAACUAGGAUCCCUAUACAUCACAAACAGCAGCACAGGCAGUUUCCUUUCUACAUGCACUUAACCCAGAAUGGCAAAGACCAUUACUGAUGGUACAAUUGCAUCUUGUUCAUUUAGCACCAGCUCACUUCCUGGAACUGCUCAAUUUAAUGUAAAGAAAGUUUAUACGGUUAAUAUGAUUAUGAGGUUAUGCAAUGUGAAUGUGUCUUCAAGGAAAUAAUUUGAAACCACAAAUUAAGCCAGUAAUAACCCACCAGUGAUAAUGAAUUCAGGCAAGGUCUCUCCCUUUUUCCCUAUAUUGCACCCCCUGAUUUAAACUAGUAACUUAAAGGCACAAAACUUUAUAUAAUACUCCAGCCCGGGAAUCACUUUUUAAUUACAGUUUCUUGGUGACCUUUCUAUUAAUUGUUGCUUCCCAAAAAGUUGAGAUCUGGGCAAGAGACUAAAAGUAUCACAGUAAAGUUCAUUGAAUUAUUUUUCUGUGCAAAAUAAAUAGUAUUAUUGUUUCCGAUAUUAGGCAUGUGGAAAUUUAUUAGGCAUUAUGGAAACAUGAAGAAAGGCAUGGUCCCUGCCCUGAAGAAUUAGUUUUCUAUUCAUCUGCUUCUUAAGUAUCUACUGGGCAUCAGCAUAUGUUCCAGAUGAACAAUGGGCAUGUUUACGCAAUCAUUAAUGCACUAUUGUUACAGUGCAUUACAUUUAGCACCUCUAAUAUGAGGUUCUAACUAAAUGCGCAAUAAGUGGCGCUACUGCACAGUAGUGCCAGCACACAGUCUUUUUGUGAUGCUUAAUGUGCAGUAGACUAUGCAUUAGCCUGGCUUUUUGCCAUGAUCGCUAAAGCACAGUAGACUUAGUCUACUGCACAUUAAGUGGCUCAUAUAGAUGCAUCCAAUGAGUACCCUAUUUGCCUACUCUGUUGCCAAUGUUCUGGAUGUUGAUUUGGCAGGAAAAGGUCAACUGUUACCCUUUUGUUUUUCACCUGUGAAGUAUCUAGUUUGUGCUUCUACAGCUGACAGUAUUUUGACAUGAACUGCUCAAUAAAUAUAUCCAGGUCUAAUGGAUUGAUAACCUUCUCAAAAUUUAUCUACUCUCUGAGGCAGCAGUGCUCAAUUUCCAUGAAAAACUAGUUUCUGGUGGCUAGCUGUGGCUGAACCUAAAGAUACAGCUGCAAUAAUUUCUAAAAAGCAUGUAUGUAGUAAAAAACAGUGACCAAGACAUAUUUACUGUGUUUUUUCAACAUUUUUGCAGGCUUUGACUGCCUGGUCUUAAACAACAUAGACCUCAAGAAUAAAUGCAUUUCACUGGGCUUGAGCAGCAUGCGAACAUAACUUUGAGCAAAUUAUUUGACAUCCCUCUGCUUCAGUUAAUCCACCUGGGUAAAAAGCAGGAACUUGCUGAAAACCAGAUGCUGCAAUUAUGUUGAGUUUCUCUAGGGAAAGCUGAUUUCCAGUGGUGAGCCUUCAGCUCCUCAUUUGGGAAAAAAGAAAGCUGAAUCACAAAAACAUUCUAUCAUCAAUCCAUAUUAAUACUGCAGUGGUGUUCCUGCAAUUGAUUUUACAUGCUGGAUCUGUAUUUCAUUCCAUCCUACCUCAACACUCUGCAUAAUUUUUGAGACUCACUCAGAUAAUGUUUUCUAUAUCCAAUCAAUACAAUAACCUUUGGGUAAGACAUAAGAGCAAUAAUACAAAAAAAAAUAUUAGUACUGAUGGCCUUUGAAUUUAAUAUGGAAUGACUGUUAAAAUGCUGGAAACUUUAAAAAAUGUUCUGCUAAUUAAACUCAAACCUUCAGUUACAAAAAGAUGAAGGAAGAACAUUGUAUGAACUUAGACAGCAACCCCAUUUUUGCCCUCACAAUUGUUUUUACAGAAAUGGCCAUUACUAUAUGAACACUUACAGAAUGGCCAGAAAAACAACUGUGAACCUCUUACACUUGUAGAAUUAGCUGAUGGUUCUGGGUAGAAUAGCAUGAGAUCUUUAUAGAAAAAAAGAAGUUUAUUUACUUGGUAGCAUUUUUCUGGUAGACUAUUUUUCUUGAGCUGUUUAAAUUCUUCUUUUCACCAAAUUCACACCACUGUGGGUCCUAGAAAAGCUGUAUGGCAUUGUUUCCCAGUAGUUACUAACAACAGGCUACCAUUUGCCAGCUUUGAUGUGAAGAGAUGUCAAAUCUACAAGUGCUCCAGAUUACUUAAAAUAUCUAAAUGUACCCUAACUUAAGUCAGACAACUGAGGGCCCCAUUCUGCAAAAUACCUCCACUCAGACAGUGUUGAAGGUGCUUAAAUGUUUUUCAUGCCAGGUCCCCUGUUGUGAUAAAAUGAAUAAUAUUGGACAACACCCAACUGGUGUUAUUGGAUGAAGCCAGAUCCUGUGAUUCUAUACAAGGCAGUGCAGAAGCAAAAAGGCAGCAUCCGCAGCUAGUUCCAAACUCAGCUGACUUUCUGUACAACCCUAGUAGCAACUGUGCUUAGCUAUAGCCUCAGUGAAGGGAGAUUGUCCUGUUGAGAGAAGUUCUCAAUCAGCCAAACUGGAAUCUUCACUGUGGACAUUAUCUAAGGGAAUUAACUGGAUAAAGGUCCAACUAUGGCCUAGCUGAACAGAUCACUCCUUCUUAAAUACUGAUUGCUGUUGAAAACCGCUCAUACAGAAAAAGGGAGAAAAUCUCAGGAUGCACACUGUCUUUAUAUCUGGCAGGAUGCCAGGCAAGAACAACUGAGGUACUUUCUAUGAGGAUUAAAAUGAGAAAAAAGCUGUUUCUGUAUUCAAAUAAAAUUCCUUGUUCAAGUUUAGAAAGCAGCAAGCCUUUCACUGCCAGUAUUCUUGCAAUGUGUGUGAGCUGAUCUUGGCUUCUGCAGCUUUCUCCUCUUCCACAGAUCUUCUUCUCUCAUGAACCACUUUGCUUCUUAGCCACAAACUCAGAAACACUUUUUCUUGUUGUUUUUUAAAUAAUUUGCUGAGGCAUCCAUCCUUCAAAACUGUAUCCAUUUCUGCCCUACCCAUUUGGUCUUCUUCACAUGCUGACUACUUCAUUGAAAGUGUCAGAUGAGCAGGGACCCUAGUUUUCUCUGAUUUAAAAAAAUCCCCAAUUUUCAUUUAAAGAAAAGUAACCCCAAAUCAACAUGUAUAUACUAGUGGUGUUUCAUUUUAAUCACAAAAAUAUGUGGAUUUGGGGUUACUUUUUUUUAACCAAAAAUUGGAGAUUGUUUUUGUCACAACCCAGUUAAUCAGUGCCCAUGCCACUAGCAAGAGAUACCAUUCAAGUAGUCAACUAAGGGUUAAAAAGAAAUCCUUGCCAGACAUUCCUGAAAACAAAAUGCUGGCGGAGAACUGUAGGUAAUUGGUCAGCUGAAAUAAAAUGCUAGCAAAAACUGUAUAUAAUUGGUCAAGAAACAAGCGUAGAUACCUCACACGUAACAUACUAGAAACCUAACCCACUACCUUGUAACCUGAUAGCAAACUGAGAACACAAAGAACUGCUGCUUGCCAGAAAAUUAAAGAUUCCACAUAACAGUUCAUCAUUGGGUAUCUCCGUCAGACACCUCUGUCUAUAAAUAGUUUAGCAACUUCCGCAGUCGGAGAACCCCAGAAAAAUCUCUGAGGAGAGACCCGAGUCCAUCACCAGAGUAGAUUGACGGUCUGAACAGCUGUCAAUCUCUCCCCGUCAUAGUUAAUUUUGACGUAGUAAAGCCCUGCAGGCUCGAUACCGUUCUCGGCGCGCUUCGCUAGGUGCUGCAAGCUCUUCCAAUCUCCAUUUCAAAAAUGAAUCAGCACAGACCCACACUUCGCAACACGUCUACAUGGCGCUACAAGCCAAUUCCGACGAACGGGCCCCUGCAAGAAGCCCUUGUCGCCCUUUUACAGCGACUUGAACAACAGGGAUGCAUAAAACCAGUGGCCGCCAGUACUCCACACUCCAAAUAAACUAAUUGUCGUGAACCCAGUUACUGCUCUCGUUUUAUAUUUUUCAGGUCUGGCAGGGAGCGCGACGGCCAUAUACAACAGCAGCCCGUCACAAGAGCCACCGGAACAUCAGGCCGCUCCGACCUGGCACGCACCAGACCACCAUGGGGGCGUCUAUCGUGCUGAUCCUGUUGAGUGUUGUUGUCACUUCGGUGCCUUCUCCGGACCCUGGACCCUCCAACUCGAUCCUGUCUCUCCUGUCGGUUUGGGCCAACAUCACUGGAUCCGAUAAAGAGUCGGGACUUACUGCAUGCCUACGCCUUCCUCUUUGGGAGGACUCUUCUUGGCUAAUGUAUUUGUUAACACCCCUAAUUACUUUGUUGUUACCCAUUUGUUAUAUUGGUAUUCCCAAUGUGUCCCUUCCUCUAGAACACCAAAUCACGUCGAUGCAAAAAAUUGCAGCAAGAACCAAAACGUCGCAGGACUAGGAAAGGGGUGGUUAGCCGACCUUUUCGGCUGGAUGGGAUGGGAUACAUCAUCUUGGUUAAUGCAUUUACUAACCCCGCUUAUUACCUUGUGCUUGCCAUUAAUUGCGAUAGCCAUAGUUGUGUGUUUAGGUUGUUGUAUCUUGCAGCUCAUAAAGAAACAACUAAUGAUGCUUUCUGCUUUUGUAUACACCCGCUGGCCAUUAGAUAACUCCAAUGACAACGAGUAUGACGACGAGAACGAACUAUAGCCAAAAGUAAGUGGUCACUUGCUGUGCCAUGGGCAAGGGGGCAUGUCACAACCCAGUUAAUCAGUGCCCAUGCCACUAGCAAGAGAUACCAUUCAAGUAGUCAACUAAGGGUUAAAAAGAAAUCCUUGCCAGACAUUCCUGAAAACAAAAUGCUGGCAGAGAACUGUAGGUAAUUGGUCAGCUGAAAUAAAAUGCUAGCAAAAACUGUAUAUAAUUGGUCAAGAAACAAGCGUAGAUACCUCACACGUAACAUACUAGAAACCUAACCCACUACCUUGUAACCUGAUAGCAAACUGAGAACACAAAGAACUGCUGCUUGCCAGAAAAUUAAAGAUUCUACAUAAUGGUUCAUCACUGGGUAUCUCCGUCAGACACCUCUGUCUAUAAAUAGUUUAGCAACUUCCGCCCAGUCGGAGAACCCCGGAAAAAUCUCUGAGGAGAGACCUGAGUCCAUCACCAGAGUAAAUUGACGGUCUGAUCAGCUGUCAAUCUCUCCCCGUCAUAGUUAAUUUUGACGUAGUAAAGCCCUGCAGGCUCGAUACCGUUCUUGGCGCGCUUUGCUCGUCAUCGCUUGAUAUCGUAACCCGACCUUAUACGCUCAACUGUAAUCGAUGCAACUGUAACGAAACAAAGUCUCAGCCUGCAUCGCACGUCACUAUCUGGGCGACGUAAGUAAACAAUCUGCUGUAACCAA
This is a long non-coding RNA of Alligator mississippiensis (American alligator), 20240 nucleotides long. RefSeq lists it as uncharacterized. The transcript has 2 exons. Lineage: Eukaryota; Metazoa; Chordata; Crocodylia; Alligatoridae. The record is from RefSeq and is a predicted model, not a curated record.